GACGAACGCUGGCGGCGUGCCUAAUACAUGCAAGUCGAACGCUUCCUACCGGUGCUUGCACCGGGAAAGAAGAGUGGCGGACGGGUGAGUAACACGUGGGUAACCUACCUACAAGCGGGGGAUAACAUUCGGAAACGGAUGCUAAUACCGCAUAGAUCUUUUUGUCUCCUGGCAGAAAGAAGAAAGACGGUUUCGGCUGUCACUUGUAGAUGGACCCGCGGCGCAUUAGUUAGUUGGUGAGGUAAUGGCUCACCAAGACGAUGAUGCGUAGCCGACCUGAGAGGGUGAUCGGCCACACUGGGACUGAGACACGGCCCAGACUCCUACGGGAGGCAGCAGUAGGGAAUCUUCCGCAAUGGACGAAAGUCUGACGGAGCAACGCCGCGUGAGUGAAGAAGGUUUUCGGAUCGUAAAACUCUGUUGUUAGAGAAGAACAAGGAUGAGAGUAACUGCUCGUCCCUUGACGGUAUCUAACCAGAAAGCCAUGGCUAACUAC
RNAcentral lists this ribosomal RNA (496 nucleotides) under uncultured Bacillota bacterium. RNAcentral's name for it is "bacterial SSU rRNA". It matches the Rfam family "Bacterial small subunit ribosomal RNA", at positions 28 to 504 of the family's 1533-position model. Lineage: Bacteria; Bacillati; Bacillota. The record is from RNAcentral.